UCUUAUAUAUAUAUAUAUAUAUAUGAAGAUACUACAGUAUUGUAUAUUAUAGGGAAUGAGAGAACUCCAUUUUAUGUCCUUUAAUACUCAUGCCAUACACAUGAGAAAGUGAUAGGAACUUUUUAGUAGUAGUAGACAAGCAAUCGAAUUCACACACAUUCUCAAUCUAUACCAACUUUCGAACAUAUCGGGGUUGUCCGUCCACCCCUAUUUUUUAGGACAUAAAUUGUCCUUGUGAGACAAAUAAUGCAAAGUUAUAGCAAUUAUGCUACUCACACCCCUCUUUUUGCUACAUACACUCCUCAAUUUUUUCAUAAACGAAAUAUCCAACAUGUCAUUGCUUAUUUGUCUCAUUCUAUAACCCUACUUUGUUUAUUCGAGACCAUCAUUAACCUGGUAACUCACACAUCACAACUCAUUAAUAACUCAAACAUCAUAACUCAUACUUACACCCAAUAAAUAAUCCAACAAGGUAUGUUUAUUGAUCUACAUAUUGUAGUUAAAGUAAUCCAACAAGGUAUGUUUAUUGAUCUACAUUUGAGUUUGUUUUUUAAUAUGAGAAUUUUAUGUGACCUCAGUUCUCGUAUGUUGUAAAUAAUUAAUUAUACGUGAACUGAAUUCACUUACAUAUAGUGAACUGAAUUCACGUACGUUAUUCAAUUUAAGAAAUCACAUGUACUACAUGAAUACAAUUCACGUACACUUACGCGAAUACAAUUCACGUUCACCUAACUGAAUACAAUCCACGUACACCUACGUGAAUUUAGUUCACGUAGAUUGCAUGAAUUCAGUUCACAUACGCAAACUCAACUCAUGUACGUUCCCAUGCAAUCUCAGUUCACGUAUGUUCCAACGCAAACUCAACUCAUGUACGUUCCUAUGCAAACUCAACUCAUGUAGGUCUUAUGAAAACUCAUUACACAUACGAUAUUGAAUUCAUGUACACAAACUCAUGUCACAUACGCAUAUUGAGUUCACGGUGUUGAAGUUGUUGAAAAUUGAGGAGGAAGGAGAAUGAAGUGUGAGAAAAAACAUAAAUACGAGUAUGAAUAUUAGAUAGAAGAUGAAAAUAUAAAGAGAAAUUGAGAUUUAAAGAAUGAUAUAAAUAAACAAAGAUAUUUUAAGUAUUUCGUUUUUAUGAAAAUUUGAAGGACGUGGGUAGCAAAAAGGGGGUGCGUAUGUAGUAAAAUUGAAGUUCUAGAAGCAUACCACAACACAUAAAAGUAAAUUUAAUUACAGAAGUUGAUACUUUUGAUCUGUAAAUCAUCACUCACCCA
This 1277-nucleotide long non-coding RNA is filed under the name Cicer arietinum (chickpea). RNAcentral's name for it is "long non-coding RNA (CARI_LNC002543)". Lineage: Eukaryota; Viridiplantae; Streptophyta; Magnoliopsida; Fabales; Fabaceae. The record is from RNAcentral.